Molecule: transfer RNA, 68 nt
Filed under: Pirkimerus japonicus
Lineage: Eukaryota; Metazoa; Arthropoda; Insecta; Hemiptera; Blissidae
Description: tRNA-Val
Source: RNAcentral
CAAAUUAGAUCUUAGAGGUAAUUUUUGUUUACAACAUUAAUAAGGUUGUGCAAUUCAACUUAAUUUGA